UUCUGCUCAAUGAUUUUAAAUAGCCGCAGUACUCUGACUGUGCAAAGGUAGCAUAAUAAGUUGGCUUAUAAUUGAAGUCUGGAAUCAAGGAAUCUUUGGAAAAACGCUGUCUUUUUUAUUCGUGUGAAAUUGUUUAUUAAGUGCAAAUUCUUAAUUAAAUACAAUAGACGAGAAGACCCUAGAAAUUUUUAAAAACCGAAAGAAUCGUUACUUUUUUGUUGGGGCAACAGAGCUACACGCAAAAUUAGCAUUAAGUACACGAAGAAUACAGAUAGAAGAUAAUUACUCUAGGGAUAACAGCAUAAUUAUAGUUUAGUUUGUGACCUCGAUGUUGGACUAGGACCCUUAAUAUUCAAAAGAUUACAAGGUUGGCUCUGUUCGAGCUUUUUAUUCCU
RNAcentral lists this ribosomal RNA (395 nucleotides) under Trissexodon constrictus. Its description in RNAcentral is "partial 16S ribosomal RNA". It matches the Rfam family "Archaeal large subunit ribosomal RNA", at positions 1949 to 2666 of the family's 2987-position model. The record is from RNAcentral. Lineage: Eukaryota; Metazoa; Mollusca; Gastropoda; Stylommatophora; Trissexodontidae.